RNAcentral lists this ribosomal RNA (2264 nucleotides) under Salmonella enterica. RNAcentral's name for it is "partial 23S ribosomal RNA". It matches the Rfam family "Bacterial large subunit ribosomal RNA", at positions 689 to 2925 of the family's 2925-position model. Lineage: Bacteria; Pseudomonadati; Pseudomonadota; Gammaproteobacteria; Enterobacterales; Enterobacteriaceae. The record is from RNAcentral.
CGGGCGUUAAGUUGCAGGGUAUAGACCCGAAACCCGGUGAUCUAGCCAUGGGCAGGUUGAAGGUUGGGUAACACUAACUGGAGGACCGAACCGACUAAUGUUGAAAAAUUAGCGGAUGACCUGUGGCUGGGGGUGAAAGGCCAAUCAAACCGGGAGAUAGCUGGUUCUCCCCGAAAGCUAUUUAGGUAGCGCCUCGUGAAUUCAUCUCCGGGGGUAGAGCACUGUUUCGGCUAGGGGGCCAUCCCGGCUUACCAACCCGAUGCAAACUGCGAAUACCGGAGAAUGUUAUCACGGGAGACACACGGCGGGUGCUAACGUCCGUCGUGAAGAGGGAAACAACCCAGACCGCCAGCUAAGGUCCCAAAGUCAUGAUUAAGUGGGAAACGAUGUGGGAAGGCCCAGACAGCCAGGAUGUUGGCUUAGAAGCAGCCAUCAUUUAAAGAAAGCGUAAUAGCUCACUGGUCGAGUCGGCCUGCGCGGAAGAUGUAACGGGGCUAAACCAUGCACCGAAGCUGCGGCAGCGACGCUGAUGCGUUGUUGGGUAGGGGAGCGUUCUGUAAGCCUGUGAAGGUGGCCUGUGAGGGUUGCUGGAGGUAUCAGAAGUGCGAAUGCUGACAUAAGUAACGAUAAAGCGGGUGAAAAGCCCGCUCGCCGGAAGACCAAGGGUUCCUGUCCAACGUUAAUCGGGGCAGGGUGAGUCGACCCCUAAGGCGAGGCCGAAAGGCGUAGUCGAUGGGAAACGGGUUAAUAUUCCCGUACUUGGUGUUACUGCGAAGGGGGGACGGAGAAGGCUAUGUUGGCCGGGCGACGGUUGUCCCGGUUUAAGCGUGUAGGUGUGUGUUCCAGGUAAAUCCGGUUCACUUUAACACUGAGGCGUGAUGACGAGGCACUACGGUGCUGAAGCAACAAAUGCCCUGCUUCCAGGAAAAGCCUCUAAGCAUCAGGUAACAUCAAAUCGUACCCCAAACCGACACAGGUGGUCAGGUAGAGAAUACCAAGGCGCUUGAGAGAACUCGGGUGAAGGAACUAGGCAAAAUGGUGCCGUAACUUCGGGAGAAGGCACGCUGACACGUAGGUGAAGUGAUUUACUCACGGAGCUGAAGUCAGUCGAAGAUACCAGCUGGCUGCAACUGUUUAUUAAAAACACAGCACUGUGCAAACACGAAAGUGGACGUAUACGGUGUGACGCCUGCCCGGUGCCGGAAGGUUAAUUGAUGGGGUCAGCGCAAGCGAAGCUCCUGAUCGAAGCCCCGGUAAACGGCGGCCGUAACUAUAACGGUCCUAAGGUAGCGAAAUUCCUUGUCGGGUAAGUUCCGACCUGCACGAAUGGCGUAAUGAUGGCCAGGCUGUCUCCACCCGAGACUCAGUGAAAUUGAACUCGCUGUGAAGAUGCAGUGUACCCGCGGCAAGACGGAAAGACCCCGUGAACCUUUACUAUAGCUUGACACUGAACAUUGAGCCUUGAUGUGUAGGAUAGGUGGGAGGCUUUGAAGUGUGGACGCCAGUCUGCAUGGAGCCGACCUUGAAAUACCACCCUUUAAUGUUUGAUGUUCUAACGUGGACCCGUGAUCCGGGUUGCGGACAGUGUCUGGUGGGUAGUUUGACUGGGGCGGUCUCCUCCUAAAGAGUAACGGAGGAGCACGAAGGUUGGCUAAUCCUGGUCGGACAUCAGGAGGUUAGUGCAAUGGCAUAAGCCAGCUUGACUGCGAGCGUGACGGCGCGAGCAGGUGCGAAAGCAGGUCAUAGUGAUCCGGUGGUUCUGAAUGGAAGGGCCAUCGCUCAACGGAUAAAAGGUACUCCGGGGAUAACAGGCUGAUACCGCCCAAGAGUUCAUAUCGACGGCGGUGUUUGGCACCUCGAUGUCGGCUCAUCACAUCCUGGGGCUGAAGUAGGUCCCAAGGGUAUGGCUGUUCGCCAUUUAAAGUGGUACGCGAGCUGGGUUUAGAACGUCGUGAGACAGUUCGGUCCCUAUCUGCCGUGGGCGCUGGAGAACUGAGGGGGGCUGCUCCUAGUACGAGAGGACCGGAGUGGACGCAUCACUGGUGUUCGGGUUGUCAUGCCAAUGGCACUGCCCGGUAGCUAAAUGCGGAAGAGAUAAGUGCUGAAAGCAUCUAAGCACGAAACUUGCCCCGAGAUGAGUUCUCCCUGAGACUUAGAGUCUCCUGAAGGAACGUUGAAGACGACGACGUUGAUAGGCCGGGUGUGUAAGCGCAGCGAUGCGUUGAGCUAACCGGUACUAAUGAACCGUGAGGCUUAACCUUACA